UGGGGAAUAUUGCACAAUGGGGGAAACCCUGAUGCAGCGACGCCGCGUGAGCGAAGAAGGUUUUCGAAUCGUAAAGCUCUGUCCUAUGAGUAGAUAAUGACGGUAUCAUAGGAGGAAGCCCCGGCUAAAUACGUGCCAGCAGCCGCGGUAAUACGUAUGGGGCGAGCGUUGUCCGGAAUUAUUGGGCGUAAAGGGUACGUAGGCGGUCUAUUAAGUCAGGUGUGAAAGCGUGAGGCUUAACCUCAUUAAGCACUUGAAACUGAUAGACUUGAGUGAAGGAGAGGAAAGUGGAAUUCCUAGUGUAGCGGUGAAAUGCGUAGAUAUUAGGAGGAAUACCGGUGGCGAAGGCGACUUUCUGGACUUUAACUGACGCACAGGUACGAAAGCGUGGGGAGCAAACAGG
RNAcentral lists this ribosomal RNA (403 nucleotides) under Verrucomicrobiota bacterium. RNAcentral describes it as "Verrucomicrobia bacterium partial 16S ribosomal RNA". It matches the Rfam family "Bacterial small subunit ribosomal RNA", at positions 355 to 776 of the family's 1533-position model. The record is from RNAcentral. Lineage: Bacteria; Pseudomonadati; Verrucomicrobiota.